UUGAAAUGUUGUGUGACCGAGCAGUGAAAAAUUAAUUGACAUCAUACGAAAACACAAGAAUUUCAUUAACAUUUAAAGAAAAAAUUAUUUAAAAUGUAUCUGCAGUAUUUGUAUAUAUCUGUAAACAUCAACUUCCUUCACACAGUAAACUGUUGGGAGAGAUUAAUCAAAAUUGUAGAUGUUUAAUUCUCCAAAAAUGAAUAUUGUAUUAGUUUAUCACAAGAAAGGCUUUAAAAUUCGAAUUUGCAGAGUAACCUUUUACUUUUAAAUGUAUAUUAUAAAUAUAAAUGUAUACAUGUAUAUUUUGCAGCAUGAUUUAGCUUAAUCAGUUAAGUCACCACCACUCUGCACAAGGUUUAAGUGCUGACAAGAACAGCACUUAAACUUUCUGCUGUCAUUAAAAUGGACAACAGAGAAAAUUUAGACGAUAUUGUGGAAACAUGGAGUCAGAAGGUACUCCUUUUUCUGGGGCCAUCACCCAGCCCUCCCCGUCCUCCACCUUUCCCCACUGGACCCUAACUCUAAAAUCAGUCUGCGGUCACCUUCCUUGUAUUUUACCUUUGUGUAACUGUGCUUUGAAGCUUUGCUAAUCAGUAAAUCACUGCCAGCGAAUCAUAAUUUAAAAAGAAUAACUCGGCAGCGCAAAGUGAAGCUAUGUAUGAAUGUAGUUUUAUGCACAGCCCACUGAUCUCACUUCUAGUGGAUAAAUCAUAGUGUUGCAUUUCUCUCAUCGUCUGUUGUACGUUUUGUGCGUUUCACAUGUGAUGUCCUCGUGAUUUCUAAUGACAUGGUCCAGUACCUGCAUCCUGAACUGUAUGUAAAACACACAAACACACAAGCGGACACAGCUGAUGAACAUCUGUAAAUUUGUAUUAACUGUCUGUUAUCUCAUAUCUGUCUCUCUGUAUAUCUGUAGGCACGGUGUGAAGGUUUGUGAUUUUGUAUCUCCUCCACUCGACAGCUCCACUCCAAAUUGUGCACAGUGACAACACAUGCUCUUACUCUGUGUCCCAACAACAUGAAGACAGGCCAUACAUCAAGAAGCCACCAAACACCUUCAUGCUUUACCCUAAGGAGCAAAGGUCAAAGCUGAACUAAACAUCACUGAGAGAGCAGGUCUAAAUGCAGUCGUGGGAGAGAGAUGGAAGUCACUUUCAAAGGAUGAGCAGAGGAAAUAGAAAGAUGUCGUCAUGCCAAAGAAAAUCCAGCGUGGUCUACCAAAGACAACUACAUACGUUCAAAGGGCCAAUAUGCAGUUCAUACAUGGGCCCAUCACUGCUCUAAAUGAUGAAACAGUCACAGCAAAGCGUUUGAAUCACUUUUUGAAAAUUCGAAUGUGUUUGUAUUUAGGGCAA
This is a long non-coding RNA of Oreochromis niloticus (Nile tilapia), 1355 nucleotides long. RefSeq lists it as uncharacterized. Lineage: Eukaryota; Metazoa; Chordata; Actinopteri; Cichliformes; Cichlidae. The record is from RefSeq and is a predicted model, not a curated record. The transcript is spliced from 3 exons.